Molecule: long non-coding RNA, 1684 nt
Organism: Mercurialis annua (annual mercury)
Lineage: Eukaryota; Viridiplantae; Streptophyta; Magnoliopsida; Malpighiales; Euphorbiaceae
Exons: 4
Source: RefSeq, a predicted model, not a curated record
CUCAAUAUCAUUAAUUAUGAAUGAUAUUCAUUCAUUUUAAACCAUAAUUUGCAGCAACAAGAAGAUGAAACCCGAAACUCCCCUUUCUCAAAUUCUUCAAAAAUUCAAUCCUCCAUAACUUCCUCGUUUCUCAACGGAAUUGGACGAUUCUUGCGGCCACGGAACGAGGAAAUGAUUAUCUACAGACCUAUGGAUUCAAUUUGAGGUGUGAAUUGAGCUUGGAAAAUGAAGGAUUGGAUGGUGAAUCUUGGUGAUUAAACUUUGGCAUGUGACAUCUUCAAGAUCGGACGAGCGACUAUCGAAAAGGUUUGAGGCAAACGGAUCGAGAUAUCGUCAUAAUUAUUUGAAGAAUUUGGAUAGCAAGUGGGAUAGUAUGAUAUGAUUUGAAGAGUCAAACUUCCGAAGUUUAAAUUCUCGGAAGUCAUUUGCACAAGAAGUAAAAGAAGGUUUUCAUUCUAGCGGUCCGCAGUAGUCUAGAUUUUUUUGUCUAUGUAUUUGUAUAACGCAUUUUCACUCUGAUGUUUUUGGUAAAAUGGGGUCACAUGUAUUUUGAUAUAUGAAAUAUGAUUUGAAAAGCGAAAAAUUUACACAGGUUUUUAGGCUUGCUACGGGUUUCGGAGCUACCACUCCCAUUCCCUAGCGCCGGUCGCGACUCAUAAAUUUGGAUCGUGACAUUUCCAUUUUUCAUCUCUGCCAUGUGGCGUUCAUCGACGAGUGUUGUUGCCAGAUGAAAGACAAGUGUCUCGUUUUCGUGACAUUUGUCAUUCAUCCGAUGUGACCCUUAGGGUUUCGUCUUCUCAUCUUCCUAACCCCAAUUUCUGGGCAUAUAUAUUCAUUUUUGCCAUUUCUUCCACUUCACUUCAGUUUUUCUUCGAAAUUUCUUGAUUUUCAAAAGGCAAUUUCUUUCUUCAGUGUGUUUCAUUCGCUUCAAGAUUACUCGUUUCAAGGUUGCUUCAUAUCUUUCGUUUGAUCUUGCGUACUUGAUUUCAAGGUACUGUGAUUUUCCUUUGAUUGUGUAUUUUGAUUUCUGGGUUUUGGUUUCUCUGUCAUCAUUGUUCUUCGUGUUCUUCAAGUUAAUUUUCCAGUUUUUUUCUUGCUUUUAUCUUUUAAAUUUGAAAUUCUUUAUUCCUCCUUGUUUCCUCCCAUUUUAAUUUAAAAUGUCAGAGGUAGGCGAAGGGUCUCGGGGUGCUCGUGAUGAUCUAGAGCACACCCGAAGUUCUUUAUCUGUUGAAUAGAUAACAGAAUUUGCCGAAGAAUUUGAUUUUCCCGAGUCUUUUGUAAUUAUAAAGUCUGGAUCAAAGUGUCGGGCGAAUCAUAGUACUGAUUCAGCCAUUAAAAUCGUUGUCUUUCAUGAACAGUAUGUAGUUGGUUUGUGUUUUCCUCUUGAGUCUUUGUUUGUAGACAUUUGUACAAAUUUAAGUAUUCCCCUUGGUCAUUCGCAUUAUCUGCCCCUUCAUCGAGUCCUGUAGGUCUCGUAGUCAGGAGCAUUCAGUAAGUUUAUUUAACUAUUUUUAUACUUUCUCCUGUCGAAAGGACGAGGAGUUUAUGUUUGCUGGUGGUCGACCGAAUCGAUCUCCUUUUAUUCUUCCUUCCCCUUUGAAAGGUUGGACUCCGAAGUUUUUUCUUGUUCAACAUUCUUCUUUUUCUUUUUUGUCGCGGAGUUUUACUUAAAAUAAAGUUUCCC